Long non-coding RNA from Arabidopsis thaliana (thale cress), 298 nucleotides. RefSeq annotates it as other RNA. Lineage: Eukaryota; Viridiplantae; Streptophyta; Magnoliopsida; Brassicales; Brassicaceae. The record is from RefSeq. The transcript has a single exon.
GUGGAGAUUCCAUAACAGGAUCUGCAAACAAAAAAAGACAGCAGCUCUUACUUGGAAUCAUCCAUAAUACAAAUAAAAUAAAGACAAACCUUUUAGAGUUUGGUUCAAAUUCUACAGAUAACAAACAAAGAGACACUAACUCUAACUCAAGAAACAGAAAUUACUAAGCGAAUCAAAUCAGAUCUCUGGCAAAUUAUAGAACUUUAAGAUGCUGCAAUCAAAUAUUGCCAUUAAAAACAAAGCUCAAGAACUCCUAAAAUUUUGGUAUUUUUACCUGAUCAGAAGCAAAAGCUAUAAA